AAAGGAAUAGACGGGGGCCCGCACAAGCGGAGGAACAUGUGGUUUAAUUCGAUGAUACGCGAGGAACCUUACCUGGGCUUAAAUGGGGACUGACGCAUUCAGAAAUGGAUGUUUCUUCGGACAGUCUUCAAGGUGCUGCAUGGUUGUCGUCAGCUCGUGCCGUGAGGUGUCGGGUUAAGUCCCAUAACGAGCGCAACCCUUACCGUUAGUUACCAUCAGGUCAAGCUGGGGACUCUAACGGGACUGCCACCGUAAGGUGAGAGGAAGGUGGGGAUGACGUCAAAUCAGCACGGCCCUUAUGUCCAGGGCUACACACGUGUUACAAUGGCCGGUACAGAGGGCAGCUACUCCGCGAGGGGAUGCUAAUCUUAAAAAGCCGGUCUCAGUUCGGAUCGAAGUCUGCAACCCGACUUCGUGAAGCUGGAUUCGCUAGUAAUCGCGCAUCAGCCAUGGCGCGGUGAAUACGUUCCCGGGCCUUGUACACACCGCCCGU
Molecule: ribosomal RNA, 493 nt
Filed under: uncultured bacterium
Lineage: Bacteria
Description: bacterial SSU rRNA
Rfam family: Bacterial small subunit ribosomal RNA
Source: RNAcentral